RNAcentral lists this long non-coding RNA (1297 nucleotides) under Anser brachyrhynchus (Pink-footed goose). RNAcentral's name for it is "lncRNA (ENSABRG00000004690.1)". Lineage: Eukaryota; Metazoa; Chordata; Aves; Anseriformes; Anatidae. The record is from RNAcentral.
CUUGUAGAAAAACAAGAUGAGGUAGUGGCUUAGGCCACAGAGGGAUUUAGGAACAUCUAGACCUUUUAAAUCUAUUUUGAUAGAGUUUUCAGCAUGGAAGUAUGGAAUAAAAGGAAGAACCUCCUGCCUGAAGUAAUUUUAGCUUUGAACUGCUUCCUAAAGUUAGGGCAGAAGCAGAUGUUUUCUCUUUUCCUGGCUGGAGAAUCCUGCCCCAGCCCACCUGUGACUGAGUCAGUAUGUGGGGCAACUCCCUAAUUCACCCCAAGGAGAUUCAGCCAGGCUCAUGCCAACUAUCUGCACUAUUGAGCUAAUCUCCUUUUAUUGAGCCUGAAGCAAAUUAGGGCAUGCAUGUGUUAACGCACAACCUGCAGAAAAAAAAGGUAUGAGGUAGGUAUGAGCAACUACUGUGAACCAGAGCUGGCACUCCUGGAUCCAGGAGAAAGUGUCUGUCCUUGAUCACAGAUCCCUAUGCCAACCCCCUUCUCACAAAACACAGCAUUCUCUCUCUUGCUCUAUAGCGUAAGGAUUAAAGCCUUUACCUCAGGCUGGAGAGACGGAGUUUUAACAUUUUUCCUGCUCAAGGGAACUUGAAUCCACAUGCUCUGGAUGUCCAGUUUUCAGAUUACUUAGCAUUUCAGAACUGGAUACUUUGUUCUUCCAAUAGGAGGCUUCUGCAAUGAACUCUGAAAUAAGAUAACAGAUGCUCUCAUUACCUAGUGACACUCUUGCCUACAGAUCAUAGGAUGAGAAAGAUCAGGAGCCAAGGCUUCUCCGGCCCUGUGACUGAGUGUCCAUUGUGUGCUGUACUUUUCCUACCAUCUCAUGAGCCGAGCACCACUGCACAGCACUUCUUCAGGAACCCUGGAAUCUCGUGUUCUGACCUACAAAGCACUUCACGCAGCAACAUCUGAAUCAGCUGACAUCAGUAAGGGUAGUUGGUGUCUGUUUACCAAGGUAUUGCUGUAAAGACUUCAUGGGUAGUGUUGAAGGAGCUGGCCCUUUAAGUUCAUAUAAAACUUCUAAGAAUUUUGGAAUUUGUUAUCUUGUAAGUGAUCUAUAUCCUGUAAAAAAAAAAAAUGGCUGAGAGUAACAUAUCCUAUGACUUCUUGUAUAUUCUUAUGGUAAAUAAGAUUUAGUAACAGUAUACUCUACUGAUUAUCCCUUUUAGAUGUAAUAGACUUUACUUAGGUCCUUCGCCUUAGAGAGACAAUUAUCCUAUGCAAAAUUAUAAAGCCACGCGAACUGUACAGGAGCUGCUAAUAUUACUGUACGGUGAAUGUAGCCACUGCCUUAUAAC